UACGGGGGGGGCAAGCGUUGUUCGGAAUUACUGGGCGUAAAGGGCUCGUAGGCGGCCAACUAAGUCGGAUCUGAAAUCCCCAGGCUCAACUUGGGAACUGCAUCCGAUACUGGAUGGCUUGAAUUCGGGAGAGGGAUGCAGAAUUCCAGGUGUAGCGGUGAAAUGCGUAGAUAUCUGGAGGAAUACCGGUGGCGAAGGCGGCAUCCUGGACCGACAUUGACGCUGAGGAGCGAAAGCUAGGGGAGCAAACGGG
RNAcentral lists this ribosomal RNA (253 nucleotides) under uncultured bacterium. Its description in RNAcentral is "partial 16S ribosomal RNA". It matches the Rfam family "Bacterial small subunit ribosomal RNA", at positions 524 to 776 of the family's 1533-position model. The record is from RNAcentral.